GAUGAAGAACGUAGCGAAAUGCGAUAAGUAAUGUGAAUUGCAGAAUUCAGUGAAUCAUCGAAUCUUUGAACGCACAUUGCGCCCGCCAGUAUUCUGGCGGGCAUGCCUGUUCGAGCGUCAUUACAACCCUCAGGCCCCCGGGCCUGGCGUUGGGGAUCGGCGGAAGCCCCCUGCGGGCACAACGCCGUCCCCCAAAUACAGUGGCGGUCCCGCCGCAGCUUCCAUUGCGUAGUAGCUAACACCUCGCAACUGGAGAGCGGCGCGGCCACGCCGUAAAACACCCAACUUCUGAAUGUUGACCUCGAAUCAGGUAGGAAUACCCGCUGAACUUAAGCAUAUCAAUAAACGGAGGA
RNAcentral lists this unclassified non-coding RNA (353 nucleotides) under soil metagenome. RNAcentral describes it as "partial contains 5.8S ribosomal RNA, internal transcribed spacer 2, and large subunit ribosomal RNA". The stretch from base 1 to 120 matches the Rfam family "5.8S ribosomal RNA", at positions 35 to 154 of the family's 154-position model. The record is from RNAcentral.